CAUAAAUGUUAGCUGUUGUUAAUAGCAGUUACUUCUAAAAUAUAGUCCAUAAUGUUAUACUCCGAGACUGCCUGCAAAAUAUUUGUUUGCUACUUGAUUAGUCAAUUCAGGAGAAUAGGCAUGGAUAAUAUUUACUGACUUGGGUUGGAAUGGGUGAUGUUUUCCUCAAGAGAACAGUUGCCUCUUUCCGACUCCUGCACCUUCUCGAAGUCUCAUGUGCUUCUUUCAGGGCCAACUCAGUCACCUGGAACCCUCACAAGAUGAUGGGCGUGCUGUUGCAGUGCUCUGCCAUUCUCGUCAAGGAAAAGGUCUGUACUCCCUCCAAAGCUAUACUGGGGCCCAUACAUUCUUUAGAAAGCACAGAAAGAGACACACAUGGGGUCUCUUUGCAGUACUUGUUGGCUGACUCAGGAGAUUGGCAGCCCCACUGAGAGACUGCUGCUGCUGUCCUUUCCUGCCCUUGCAGCUAACCUGGUUUCUUCUCUUGGCUCUUGGGGCUACUGUGCUUCUUCCUUGAUCAGUACUCAGGGUCUGUCAGCAACUGAACCUUUAAGGGAAUUAUUUAAUUGAGUAUUCCUUCAUGUUUGCACAAAAAAAGUGAGAGCAAGUAGGUGAGGCAUCCAAUCAGUUUUGUCCUCAGUGAGGACAAAAAGCACUCACUGGAGCAUACUCGGAGUUCUUAGUAUAAAUGUGUGGUCCCAAGAACUGAAAUAAAUAAGACAGAACAACAACUACAAAUAUCAACUUAGGGCCACAAGGAAUAUUGCCCCAAAAGCUGCUGUAAAUGGUUGAGCGUCAUAUUCCCUUCUUCACAUGCCUAAUGUUAGGACCCUGCCCUCCAAGGCUUUGUUGCUCCAGUAAGACUUCUGCACACAGAAGCAUUCCAGAAAGUCUGUCUCCAGCCUGUAGGAGCCAGAAUCUGCACAGCCUCUUUAGUCCACUCAUAUGUGGAAUCCAUAUUAAUGUCAUAGGAGGUCCUGGAAAGGUUGGAAGACUUCUGCCAGAGCGCUUUUGGAGAGAAAAAUUCUUCACAGCAUGAAACUAUCCCACCCACUGAGGAAUUUUCUAUCUCUAACCCCGGCCCACUGAAUGCCGUAGCACUUCCCAAUCUUGAAACAAUCCCAGACACCCAUACAUGUUUCCCCUUAGAGGGAUGGCAUCUGAGAUGGAAAGAUCAUUUUCUAAUCAGAGAGUCAGAGACAAAGGGAUGGCAGUUUUUCCAAGAGUGAUUUUAGAAAAGGGCAUCAGAACAAGUGUAAGGCCUCAUAAAGACAUCAGAAGAAAGAUUGCAUAUGACCCCAAGCCCCUCCUUCCAAGCCAGCCUGGUUUUAAAGCCACCCACAUCUCUGAUGUGUAAAUGCAGAUGCACCCAUCUUAAUUUCCAUGACAGGGUAUACUCCAAGGAUGCAACCAGAUGUGUGCAGGAUACCUCUUCCAGCCAGACAAGCAGUAUGAUGUCUCCUAUGACACCGGGGACAAGGCAAUUCAGUGUGGCCGCCACGUGGAUAUCUUCAAGUUCUGGCUGAUGUGGAAAGCAAAGGGCACAGUGGGAUUUGAAAACCAGAUCAACAAAUGCCUGGAACUGGCUGAAUACCUCUAUGCCAAGAUUAAAAACAGAGAAGAAUUUGAGAUGGUUUUCAAUGGCGAGCCUGAGCACACAAACGUCUGUUUUUGGUAUAUUCCACAAAGCCUCAGGGGUGUGCCAGACAGCCCUCAACGACGGGAAAAGCUACACAAGGUGGCUCCAAAAAUCAAAGCCCUGAUGAUGGAGUCAGGCACGACCAUGGUUGGCUACCAGCCCCAGGGGGACAAGGCCAACUUCUUCCGGAUGGUCAUCUCCAACCCAGCCGCUACCCAGUCUGACAUUGACUUCCUCAUUGAGGAGAUAGAAAGACUGGGCCAGGAUCUGUAAUCAUCCUUUGCAGAACAUGAGUUUAUGGGAAUGCCUUUUCCCUCUGGCACUGCAGAACAAACCUCUAUAUGUUGCUGAAACACAUAGGCCAUUUCAUUGAGGGAAAACAUAAUAUCUUGAAGAAUAUUGUUAAAACCUUACUUAAAGCUUGUUUGUUAUAGUUAGCAGGAAAUAGUGUUCUUUUUAAAAAGUUGCACAUUAGGAACAGAGUAUAUAUGUACAGUUAUACAUACCUCUCUCUAUAUAUACAUGUAUAGUGAGUGUGGCUUAGUAAUAGAUCACAGCAUGUUUCCCGCUCCAAGAGAAUUCACUUUACCUUCAGCAGUUACCGAGGAGCUAAACAUGCUGCCAACCAGCUUGUCCAACAACUCCAGGAAAGCUGUUUUUCAAAACGCCAUGUCCUAGGGGCCAAGGGAAAUGCUGUUGGUGAGAAUCGACCUCACUGUCAGCGUUUCUCCACCUGAAGUGAUGAUGGAUGAGAAAAAACACCACCAAAUGACAAGUCACACCCUCCCCAUUAGUAUCCUGUUAGGGGAAAAUAGUAGCAGAGUCAUUGUUACAGGUGUACUAUGGCUGUAUUUUUAGAGAUUAAUUUGUGUAGAUUGUGUAAAUUCCUGUUAUCUUCUGACCUUGGUGGUGGGAGGGGGAGACUAUGUGUCAUGAUUUCAAUGAUUGUUUAAUUGUAGGUCAAUGAAAUAUUUGCUUAUUUAUAUUCAGAGAUGUACCACGUUAAAGAGGCGUCUUGUAUUUUCUUCCCAUUUGUAAUGUAUCUUAUUUAUAUAUGAAGUAAGUUCUGAAAACUGUUUAUGGUAUUUUUGUGCAUUUGUGAGCCAAAGAGAAAAGAUUAAAAUUAGUGAGACUUGUAUUUAUAUUAGAGUGCCCUUAAAACAAUGAUUUAAGCAUUUUACUGUCUGUAAGAGAAUUCUAAGAUUGUACAUAGAGUCAUAUAUAUGGAAAUCCUGUUACUUAAAUAGCAUCUGCUCUUCUCUUACCCUCUCUGUCUGGCUGUACGUGUGGUGUUCUCAAUGCUUUUCUAGUAACUGUUGGAUAAUAACUAGAUCUCCUGUAAUUUUGUAGUAGUUGAUGACCAAUCUCUGUGACUCUCUUAGCUGAAACCUAAGGCAACAUUUCCGAAGACCUUCUGAAGAUCUCAGAUAAAGUGACCAGGCUCACAACUGUUUUUGAAGAAGGGAAAUUCACACUGUGCGUUUUAGAGUAUGCAAGAAGAACAUAAAUAAAUAAAAAUAUUCUCCAUGGAGAAUUUGAAC
Molecule: small RNA, 3180 nt
Filed under: Pongo abelii (Sumatran orangutan)
Lineage: Eukaryota; Metazoa; Chordata; Mammalia; Primates; Hominidae
Description: retained intron
Source: RNAcentral